This 329-nucleotide ribosomal RNA is filed under the name uncultured Glomus. Its description in RNAcentral is "SSU rRNA". It matches the Rfam family "Eukaryotic small subunit ribosomal RNA", at positions 569 to 901 of the family's 1831-position model. The record is from RNAcentral. Lineage: Eukaryota; Fungi; Glomeromycota; Glomeromycetes; Glomerales; Glomeraceae.
AGCAGCCGCGGUAAUUCCAGCUCCAAUAGCGUAUAUUAAAGUUGUUGCAGUUAAAAAGCUCGUAGUUGAAUUUCGGGGUUAGCAGGUCGGUCGUGCCAUUGGUAUGAACUGGUCUCGCUGAUCCCUCCCUCUUGACGAACUGUGAUGCCAUUAAUUUGGUGUCGCGGGGAAUCAGGACUGUUACUUUAGAAAAAUUAGAGUGUUUAAAGCAGGCUCACGCUUGAAUACAUUAGCAUGGAAUAAUGAAAUAGGACGUUUGAUCCUAUUUUGUUGGCUUCUAGGAUCGACGUAAUGAUUAAUAGGGAUAGGUUGGGGGCAUUAGUAUUCAA